UUUUAAUAAGUAAUUUUGUAAUGAAUUUAUGUCCUUCUCAAUUGGGGUAGAGUUGUAGACUCUUUCCUUCUCUACAAUUUAUUAGACAAGUCAUUAUAAAGAUCGUUUUCCUGAUUGCCAUAGAUAGUUGUUUCUCAGUGUGCAUAGAAAGCUCUUGCUUGAAACUGAUCUCUAUUCUCAGAAAUUUUUCAUUUGCCAAGUAGUGGAGUUUGGUCAAGUAAUACUUUCAUGCCAGUCCUUCGUUUCUCUUAAUUACAACAUACAGCUACAAAAAAGUUAAGGCUGCAGAGAAAGGUAAAAUUGAGGUAAGCUUAUAGCUCGACCUCCUUUUCAGUGUUUUUCUUUGCAGGGAGGAGAAGGGGAAGAUUUAGUUAUUGCUGGCAGCACAGACCUGAAGAUCAAGCUUACACAAUCUGUUGAAAAGCAGUAGUAUAUGCUGUUACAGAGGACUGCCUAUCAAAAUGGCUUUAUUCACAGGACUACUGCAUGAGUUCCUGCGUGAUGCAUUGGCAACAAUGCUGGAGUUCUUCAUUCUUUCUUCAUCUGCACAAGAAAGGCAGUCCUUUAGGUUCUUGAUCCUCAGGAAACCUUUUUCUGAUGACCUUUCUAGUUCUCCUAGUUGGAAGUUCCUAUAAUUGGGGAAAUAUGCAAUAUAUCUGAGAGAAUUUUGAUGGAAAAAGCAGGGCUCCAGCUCUUAAUGGCCAAAACAGUGAUACUAAUGCCAAUAAGAACAAGCUAUAAGUUUUCUUGAGUGUGUAUAUACAAACUUUUUCUGGUCCUGAUCACAUGGUAAGGACAGGCCUCAGAGGAAACCUGUUCUUUGUGUGGUAGUGAGAUGUGAAUGUACCUUCACACUACUAAAAGUAAGAAACAAGAGAAUAUUCAGCUUCACUGUUUGUUUUUUUCCCCCAUGUAAAUUUAAAAGGCACAAGACAACCGUUUGUUUUUUUUUCCCCAUGUAAAUUUAAAAGGCACAAGACAACCUUUGGUUACAGCAGCUGCUAAAAUGUAUCAUCAAGUCCUGUGUUGAGAUGAAACUUUUGUCUAUGUAAACCAGAUGUGAAAUGUCUUCAGUUUAUUUUGUUAAUGAAGUCUAUAAAGUACCACCUUUUUAAAAAGUCCAGUAUGAUACAAGUCAAUCCCUAAGUUGUGGACUAGAAAGUUCUGAAGGCAAGAUCUCAGCAACACUAUUGUUUCACAUUUGCAAAUAAUGCCAAAAUAGUUCCUGGCACCAGAGAGGGAAUUUAGCUCAUUACCCAACCCUGCUCAGGGUUUCUGAGGUAGGUAGUUCUAUGCAUGUUCAAUGACUAAUAAUGAAAUACCAAUCACUUUAAAUAUAUUAGAUAGUGAAAAGCUUCUAGGGAGAAGAGUAUUGCUGCUGAGGGUAAGGUUGCAAAGAUUGAGAGAACUGUCCCAUUUAUGAGCCAGCUAUCUAAAAUCAGAAAACCUCUUGCAUUUUCUGUUGUAGUAGUCAUGAUUUUUUUGGCGAAUAAGUACUUUGGGAAAUAUACCUUAUGUUUUUAAAAAUUUAGACCUUAAUCUACUCAGAGAUUCUAAUUAGCACUACUUAGUAGUGGGUUAUAAUAGUUAAUGACAAUUUUAUUAAGUCUCAAAAUGUAUUCUUAAAUGCAAUGGGAAGCACUGUGUAGAUUGCAUCAAAAAUUGCAUUAAAAAUAUUGCCAAUUCAAUUUCUGGACCCAAAUUCCGAUCUGGCUGUUUGAGAAUGAUGGGCUGAGUAGGCUGCAGGUAUCUUGUCUAAAAUCAUAGAAGUAAUUUGAAACUGAACAGGUGUCUUUAGAUACUAAAAAUUUCUGUCCUUUGGAUUUGAUAGCUUACAUGGUCAUGCAGAAAUUUGAGUCUUCUAAUAGAUUUUGAAGGGUGGGUUUAUGUAAUAUUGUGCAGGUAUUGCUAAGUCUGUCUUGGUAAUGGUUUCUUUCGAAGAAUGAAAAAGGCAUCUUGUUCCAUCUGCCAGAUAGAAAAUAACUAGCCAAAAAUAAACUUAGUCCAAAGACUUUUUCCUGUGCAAUUCCUUUCUUUUUUUCCUGAGAGCCUGAUCUUGUUUUUUCUUUCAACAGUGUUUCGUUGGUAUCAGUUUUAUUAGGAAAACCCAGUACUGCACACUGAAAGCAGUUUUAAGGGAAUAUGUUCACCUCUGUAGCAGUGGUUUGACACCACUGGAAGAUGCAAUAUGGGAAGGGUCAAAGCAUGCUGUUCAUUAAACUGAAUUUCAGUUAAUACUGGAUUUUGCUGCAGAGGCAGGUGCAUGUGACACUGACACAGGCCAUAAGCUGCCAUGUUUAUGAAAUCAUAACAGAGUGGGCAUUACUAUGAGAGAGAAAGGGAAGGCUUUUUCCCUCCUACUCAGCUGUCAUCUUGGCAGAAAGCAUUAAAGAACUUGUGCUUCUGCUUGUUCUGCAAAUAAAUGUGGGACUUCAGGCUACAGAGCAUUGAAUUUGCUCAGAUUGUCACUCUCAGACUCAAAAAGAGUUAACCAGUACUAGGAGUAGCAAAAAUCUCUUCACAUAGUGGGAACUACAGUUCGUUUUUCAGAGCUGCAGAAAAUGCACUAUGGUGUGUGUAAAUGAAUACAUUAUGUAGCCUUCCAUCUUUAAUACACCUGGUUUGGGUUCUAGAAAAUUGAUUGUACUUCUAAAAGCUUAGUUUUUCGUUUUCUAGUGGGGAAUUCUGCUUUAAAGUACAUAGUAUUUCAGUUUCCUUGGUUCUCUGGUAUCUUCUUUGUACGCAUAGUCAUUCCAGGCUGUGUAGCACUUGCCACUUCUGAAUGCUUGCCACUCUUCAGAUUUAAAACUAUUACUGGAGCAACCUGAUUUGGUAUUAAGCUACAGCUCCUAUUGAACAACUUGCCAACUGCUAACACAGGUGUUGAGUGGUAUUUGUAUUUACUUGAAUGUAUGCUUAUAUUAAUGUAAAGAAUUUUAGGAUGGAGAGAGCUUCACAAUAACAACUGGGAGCAUUUUGGUUUGCUUUUCUGGGGCUGGAGCAGUGGUGUAUAUCACUAAGUUACCAAGUAAGAUGGCUUUAAGUCUAAUGCCUAGCUAAGUUCUAAAUUUUGAACCUGUUAAAAGUACUGUGACAAUUUGUUACAGCUGAGGGAGGAUGAACUUAGUUGCUGUGAAAUAGAAUCAAGUGGCUCAUAAACCACAGGAUGUCAACGAUUAGUGUAAUUAAUAGAAGCUUUACAGCAAAAAAUCAUAAAGCCUGGAACACCUUUGACUAAUGGACCACUUAACUUUGGCUUAAAGUGUUUUACCGUAACAUCUGAAGUGACACUACCUCUGCAGUUAGCCUGGGUGGUGACGUUAGAGAGAAUUUUGUGCAAAACCAUCCUGAAGGUAGCAGAUGACGUGUCACACAUCCUUUUAAUUGUGAAGAUGUUUGAUAAAAGGUUAUCUGGUAAAGAGCAUCUUUUCUGAGUGUGGAUUGUUGCCUUCUCUGAAUGGAAAAAGGAGGUAUGAGGAAACGGCUGAAAUGAAAUUAGUAGCGUUUAAGUAAUGUGUGAUGCAAUGUGCUCACAUGCAUGCACAGGCCUGCAGUGCCUUUAAUUUAAUCUCAUCCCAACCACGAGGUCCUACAUGUCUGCUUGUCUCAUACAAAUAAAAAAAUACUAUAGGCAGAAUGAAGGACUAUAAGAAGGCAUAUCACGAUAUAUGUUUGUAGUGAGUUACCUGUCCUUAUGUCCCCUUGUAUAAGCAUAUAACUCCAUAUUAUGUAACAUAUCACAGGGAAGGGCAUUGUUCUGCUCUAGGUGAGGAACCAUUGUACCUUUUAGCACCUCUUUCAGAUGUCUUCUAUCGUGCCCUAUUUUGUUGAGAUGAGUUGCACUGCCCAUAGAUCUAUUCUUGAAUCCUUCUAGGGGAUUUAAAAGGUUUAAUAUUGUACUGUUUCUGCAAAGGUGACUUUGAUAUUAAAGUUUUUUAAAAGAUUCCUAUAGUACCUGUUAUAUAGAUAAUUGUUGAUUUUUAAAGUGUCUCUGCUGUCUCUUGGAUUUUAGUAGUGUGCUUCUGUGAGUUUUUAAGUCAUCCUCAUGAACACAUUGUCACAUCCUUACCCGUGGAGAGAGAAAAAGAGAUUAUAAAAUAGUUUCAUAAAUUGAUUUAUUUCAUAAAUUAAUUUGUCUUUUAGAUUUUUUUUUUUCCAACAGGUACUUAUAGUUCUGAUUUAACAUAGCUUAAACGUAAUCUAUUUGAUUUGUUGUUAAGUUACCAAGUAGCAGUAACGACUUCAUAUCUGAAAAGCACAUGAACACAGUUUUACUGAACCGCCGGGAAAUCUGAGAUGCCCUUGAAGGACAUGCUUCCUUCUACCUUUUUAAUAAGCAAUGUCUCAAUUUAUUUCAAGGUGAAAUAAAUCGGCAGCUCUAAUGCUAGUACAAGCAGAACCUCGUUUCAUUUUUACAUGAAG
Molecule: long non-coding RNA, 4422 nt
Organism: Ficedula albicollis (Collared flycatcher)
Lineage: Eukaryota; Metazoa; Chordata; Aves; Passeriformes; Muscicapidae
Source: Ensembl